GCGUCAGUGAUGCAACUGGUUAGAGCGUGCACUUCCGGAUAUGGUGAAAUGCGGUUUCGAGUUCCGCCUGACGCA
Molecule: non-coding RNA, 75 nt
Organism: Parelaphostrongylus tenuis
Lineage: Eukaryota; Metazoa; Nematoda; Chromadorea; Rhabditida; Metastrongylidae
Source: the annotation of a GenBank genome assembly